Molecule: ribosomal RNA, 458 nt
Filed under: Massilia sp.
Lineage: Bacteria; Pseudomonadati; Pseudomonadota; Betaproteobacteria; Burkholderiales; Oxalobacteraceae
Description: bacterial SSU rRNA
Rfam family: Bacterial small subunit ribosomal RNA
Source: RNAcentral
UGGCUCAGAUUGAACGCUGGCGGCAUGCUUUACACAUGCAAGUCGAACGGCAGCACGGGCUUCGGCCUGGUGGCGAGUGGCGAACGGGUGAGUAAUAUAUCGGAACGUACCCAAGAGUGGGGGAUAACGUAGCGAAAGUUACGCUAAUACCGCAUACGAUCUAUGGAUGAAAGCAGGGGACCGCAAGGCCUUGUGCUCCUGGAGCGGCCGAUAUCUGAUUAGCUAGUUGGUGAGGUAAAGGCUCACCAAGGCGACGAUCAGUAGCUGGUCUGAGAGGACGACCAGCCACACUGGAACUGAGACACGGUCCAGACUCCUACGGGAGGCAGCAGUGGGGAAUUUUGGACAAUGGGCGCAAGCCUGAUCCAGCAAUGCCGCGUGAGUGAAGAAGGCCUUCGGGUUGUAAAGCUCUUUUGUCAGGGAAGAAACGGUAGGAGCUAAUAUCUCUUGCUAAUGAC